RNAcentral lists this small RNA (30 nucleotides) under Bombyx mori (domestic silkworm). Its description in RNAcentral is "ovarian small RNA-36684". Lineage: Eukaryota; Metazoa; Arthropoda; Insecta; Lepidoptera; Bombycidae. The record is from RNAcentral.
UUAGAACCACUGCCGCUGAUCGCGGCGCCA